UGAGAUAGCAGUUGCAGUGUAAGGAUGCAGAAAGAGAUUGUCAUGCUUGAAAUUAUGUGCCUGCUUCAAUCAUUGGACGGUGGAAGAAAGCAUGCAGCUGUUUGAAUGAUUGAAAGACAGCUGAUCUGCAUCAAGAGAGAAAUGGCAUCGGAUGAGAAGCUCAGCCAGUGUUUGGUUUCAUACCAGUGUCUUUCCUCUUCAUCUGUGACAAACUGUGAUUCAAGCUCCUCUGAGUUGAUCAUUCCUCAGACAGUUGCAAACACUACCUUGUUGUCAUGGGCGGAGACUAUACAAUGCAUGAUCCUUUGCCUUUCUAGGCAUUGUGUGAGUGUUCACUGUGGUGUUUGGUGAGGUUAAGCCGUGUUUCAGUAUUUGUGAGAUGUUAGAUCUGAAUUUAUGAGGAACCUUGCACCAACAGGUGAAAUUAUAGUUUCUGAAGU
Molecule: long non-coding RNA, 440 nt
Organism: Sinocyclocheilus grahami
Lineage: Eukaryota; Metazoa; Chordata; Actinopteri; Cypriniformes; Cyprinidae
Exons: 4
Source: RefSeq, a predicted model, not a curated record